UUCUAUAGCAUGCAAAACGUGAUUUGCGCUGAGAUGAACAUAUAUGUUCAUGACGCGAGUAAUUUUCACUUUUCACUGAUCCAAAGGAGGUCACGUGGGAUUGCUUGACGGUUGCGAAAUUAACAGCAAUGAAAAUGGCGAAACGAAACUUGUGAAUCGUGCAUUUGCUCUUCAUGGUAGCUGCCAGAAAAUCGAAUCAAACUUAUGGGACACUGGAUUACAGGUUGCUGCCACUACUCCAUGUGCCCGCAAUUGUCUUGCGUGUAUGAUUACACUAACGACGUCGCCCACCACGGCGGAAGUGUUUUGCGUACACGCGUUUCAGCAUGAAGCCUGCAGGCUGACGUAAAUUGUAGAAGGCAGCUAGUGGGGGAGAAGAUCAUGGUCAUAGGUCAUGUGGCUC
Molecule: long non-coding RNA, 403 nt
Organism: Ornithodoros turicata
Lineage: Eukaryota; Metazoa; Arthropoda; Arachnida; Ixodida; Argasidae
Exons: 3
Source: RefSeq, a predicted model, not a curated record